RNAcentral lists this long non-coding RNA (508 nucleotides) under Coffea arabica (coffee). RNAcentral describes it as "long non-coding RNA (CARA_LNC000846)". The record is from RNAcentral. Lineage: Eukaryota; Viridiplantae; Streptophyta; Magnoliopsida; Gentianales; Rubiaceae.
GUUGGGAGGAGGGCGUUCUCGAUAACCGAGACCCAUCGCGAAAAUUCCUCUUCGCUGCUCCUUCCUUCUUCGUCUUCAAGAAAAAUUACUACACACGAAGUGGGAAAACAAAAGAGAUAAAGAAAAUCGUUUACCGAUUGGUGCAGCUGAGCGAGUGAGGGGGCGCUUUUCUGCGUCUUUUUCUACUGUGCAUCCUCUGCCCUGAUCGAAUUAGUUUAUAAUAUUUACUAGUUAGUUGUAUAACACAGAAGAAGAAGCAAAAAAAAAAAAAAAAGAAAGGAGAGAAAGAUGAAGAGCAAUUCGACAGAGAUGAAAUUCGUGCAAGACCUGAUACUGUACGCUGCCAGCGCCGCUCUGAGUUGCUUGGUCUUAUUCACGGGCUCCGACUUCUCGACCCGAACCGGGAGGCCUCCAAGAAAGCCCUCGAACACAAGAAGGAAAUCUCCAAGCGCUUGGGCCGCCCUCUUAUUCAAACAAAUCCCUACGAGGUCCUUUUUUUUUUUUUUAC